CCUACGGGGGGCAGCAGUGGGGAAUAUUGGACAAUGGGGGCAACCCUGAUCCAGCCAUGCCGCGUGUGUGAAGAAGGCCCUCGGGUUGUAAAGCACUUUCAGUGAGGAAGAACGCCUGGUGGUUAAUACCCAUCAGGAAAGACAUCACUCACAGAAGAAGCACCGGCUAACUCCGUGCCAGCAGCCGCGGUAAUACGGAGGGUGCGAGCGUUAAUCGGAAUUACUGGGCGUAAAGCGCGCGUAGGUGGCUUGAUAAGCCGGUUGUGAAAGCCCCGGGCUCAACCUGGGAACGGCAUCCGGAACUGUCAAGCUAGAGGGCAGGAGAGGAAGGUAGAAUUCCCGGUGUAGCGGUGAAAUGCGUAGAGAUCGGGAGGAAUACCAGUGGCGAAGGCGGCCUUCUGGACUGACACUGACACUGAGGUGCGAAAGCGUGGGUAGCAAACAGGAUUAGAUACCCUAGUAGUC
Molecule: ribosomal RNA, 465 nt
Filed under: Vreelandella stevensii
Lineage: Bacteria; Pseudomonadati; Pseudomonadota; Gammaproteobacteria; Oceanospirillales; Halomonadaceae
Description: partial 16S ribosomal RNA
Rfam family: Bacterial small subunit ribosomal RNA
Source: RNAcentral